GAUGAGGUCGUGGGGGAGGAAGGAGAAGAGGGCAUGAAAUUCAUGGGGGAGGAAGAAGAGGAGGCCAUGGAGGUCGUGGGAGAGAGGGCAGGAGGCCACGGGGGAGGAAGAAGAUGCCCCCUUGUUUCUGAAAUUGGUCCGAUUUGAGCGGAUUCUCUUCCUCUUGGUCGGUCCCCUGGAUGUGCCUCCCUUGAUCUCUGCCUGCACAUUCUUUAUAAGCACCCUCCUGCGUCUUCGUUCAUGGAUCGACAGGUGCAUGGGCACUUGCCGCUGCAGCCAGAGUUGCCACCAAAUCAGAUUAGAAGUUUUUCAAACAGAUUCCUAUAUUUUGAAGUGGUUAUGCUCAUCACAUAGCUGGGGUAGAUCAUGUCUUACUAUAUAAUGUAUUUCAUCGUGUCUCAAGCUUCUGUGCUUAAUGGUACUGGAGAUAUAUAAACAGGACAAAGUAUACAAGUUAGUAAUGGGCACUUCAGAUGUGAUGUCAUGUGAGGAAGCCUUGGUAUGAUACAAUAAGAGAUGGUAAUUUGAGGGAGUUCCACACUAUGCUUUGCUGGACUACCCAUUUAUGUUUCCCUUAGGUAUUCCAAACUUAGUCCGAUCACAUGGGCGAUGGCUGAUUGAUGGCCUCUGCUUGGUACUACACGAUAAGUUGGAACUACUGAUGCUCCAAUUGCAGCCAGUUCUUUUGCAUGAUGCAAACAUUGAGGGUAUUAUUGACACAUACACCAAUGCCAGUAAAAAUUAUCAGACAUGAGGGGAUAUUUGACAUUACUGUUCUUUGAUUCGUGCCUCUCGGCCAAAGGGGAUGAGAUGGGUUGUGCAUAGACUCGUGUUUUACAAUUUUCUUUACAUCCGUUCAUUACAUGGAGAUCUAGAAAUUUGGUUUGUGUGUAGAAUUGCUGUUUUAAAAUCUUUGAUUCGUGACUCUCGGACAAAUUUUGUCGAUGUUUUGUUAUAAAUUUGUGUUCCUCUGAUUUGUCUCCCGUUUCCUGCAAUACGGUUCCUACACAAUCAGUUGCAUUCUUAUUAUGAAAUUAAUGUGUUGUAGUUUAUCAAUACCACCUGAAUUAGACCAUCUGAUUCAAGAUAGUAGCAUACUAGAAGAAAAGUACUUUCUGGGGAUCUAGAAAUGUUUCACUGGAUUAUGACUUGACCAGAGAUUCAGGGUACAAACACAAAUUGAAGAGAUUUUUCAAGAACUUGAUUAUGUUUACCAACUCAAGGAUGGUGAUUAUAUGGCUAUUUCUAUAAUGUCGCGCAGUUCAGCGUUCCUCUGGUCGCCCGCUUUAUGCCAUUGAUGUUUUCCUUUUCUAUAUCUAGAACUGCUGUUUCAAUUGGGUUUGUCAAGGUUUGACAUGCUUGUGGUGGUUAAUAUCUAGAAUUGUUUCAUGAACUAAUAUUAUUUUUAUCCAAACUUUAAGCCUUUUCUUAAUCCUCAUGUAAAAAGAUGGCCACGUCGGCGGCGCUAUGCGGCAACCAUAUCCGCAAGAACCGCACCCGUCGCAGGUAGGAACGCGCUACUGCACCUCGAGUCACACUAAACGGGGGUGCAACCCAUCAUUAUUUUCAGGUAGAGUACACAGAGGGCAGAAGUACAUUGACGGAAAUGAUGACACCCUUCCACUGAAGUUGACGGAAAUGAUGACACCCUUCCACUGAAGCUCGCAGACGGCACCGUGAACUGCGACAAUCGCUUCAUGUUUGAAACCGGCAAGAGGGCCACCAUCACGACGGAUUGAUCAUGGUUUCGUCACCAUGCUAACAUCCAGGAGGGCGACAUCUGCGCCUUCCAUUUCAAGCGCAAGGAAAGGCAUAAGGUCAUCACAUCGUCUCUCCCUCACCGUCCAUCGCAUCGUCUCUAGGCAUAAGGUCAUCAGCAGGAUUCGUCUUUAGCUUAUCUCAAUGCUGUGCUCUAUCAUUCACCUUGUAAGACUCUGCCCUAUCUUAUAAUAUGCACCUACUACCUCUUAUAUGUAUGAUGAUCGAACACUUUUCUCCUAAGCUUGUGUUAAUUGUAUUCA
This is a long non-coding RNA of Triticum dicoccoides, 2021 nucleotides long. RefSeq lists it as uncharacterized. NCBI's taxonomy places the organism in Eukaryota, Viridiplantae, Streptophyta, Magnoliopsida, Poales, Poaceae. The transcript has 8 exons. The record is from RefSeq and is a predicted model, not a curated record.